UACGUAGGGGGCGAGCGUUGUCCGGAUUUAUUGGGCGUAAAGAGCUCGUAGGCGGCUUAGCAAGUCGGGUGUGAAAACUCCAGGCUCAACCUGGAGACGCCACUCGAGACUGCUAUGGCUAGAGUCCGGUAGGGGACCACGGAAUUCCUGGUGUAGCGGUGAAAUGCGCAGAUAUCAGGAGGAACACCGGUGGCGAAGGCGGCAUCCUGGACCAACACUGACGCUGAGGAGCGAAAGCGUGGGGAGCAAACAGG
This 254-nucleotide ribosomal RNA is filed under the name uncultured bacterium. RNAcentral's name for it is "partial 16S ribosomal RNA". It matches the Rfam family "Bacterial small subunit ribosomal RNA", at positions 524 to 776 of the family's 1533-position model. The record is from RNAcentral.